AUGCACCGAACGUGCGGGGUAGGGGAGCGUUCUGUAAGCCGUUGAAGGU
This 49-nucleotide ribosomal RNA is filed under the name Yersinia enterocolitica (type O:13a,13b). RNAcentral describes it as "partial 23S ribosomal RNA". Lineage: Bacteria; Pseudomonadati; Pseudomonadota; Gammaproteobacteria; Enterobacterales; Yersiniaceae. The record is from RNAcentral.